UAGACCUGAAAUCAGU
This 16-nucleotide ribosomal RNA is filed under the name Eimeria gruis. Its description in RNAcentral is "partial 28S ribosomal RNA". RNAcentral also lists the same sequence under 2 other names. The record is from RNAcentral. Lineage: Eukaryota; Apicomplexa; Conoidasida; Eucoccidiorida; Eimeriidae.